This 301-nucleotide ribosomal RNA is filed under the name uncultured bacterium. RNAcentral's name for it is "partial 16S ribosomal RNA". It matches the Rfam family "Bacterial small subunit ribosomal RNA", at positions 509 to 807 of the family's 1533-position model. The record is from RNAcentral.
CAGCCGCCGCGGUAAUACGGAGGGUGCAAGCGUUAAUCGGAAUUACUGGGCGUAAAGCGUGCGUAGGCGGUUCGUUAAGUCUGUUGUGAAAGCCCCGGGCUCAACCUGGGAAUGGCAAUGGAUACUGGCGAGCUAGAGUGUGUCAGAGGAUGGUGGAAUUCCCGGUGUAGCGGUGAAAUGCGUAGAGAUCGGGAGGAACAUCAGUGGCGAAGGCGGCCAUCUGGGACAACACUGACGCUGAGGCACGAAAGCGUGGGGAGCAAACAGGAUUAGAUACCCGCGUAGUCCCUGUCUCUUAUAC